This is a non-coding RNA of Triticum aestivum (bread wheat), 135 nucleotides long. The record is from Rfam. Lineage: Eukaryota; Viridiplantae; Streptophyta; Magnoliopsida; Poales; Poaceae.
AAAAUACUCCCUCCGUCUCAAAAUUUUUGUCUUAAAUUUGUUUAUAUACGGAUGUACCUAAUACUAAAACAUGACUUGAUACAUCCGAAUUUAGACAAAUCUAAGACAAGAAUUUUGGGACGGAGAAAGUACGAU